UAGGGAAUCUUCGGCAAUGGACGGAAGUCUGACCGAGCAACGCCGCAUGAGUGAAGAAGGUUUUCGGAUCGUAAAGCUCUGUUGUAAGAGAAGAACGAGUGUGAGAGUGGAAAGUUCACACUGUGACGGUAUCUUACCAGAAAGGGACGGCUAACUACGUGCCAGCAGCCGCGGUAAUACGUAGGUCCCGAGCGUUGUCCGGAUUUAUUGGGCGUAAAGCGAGCGCAGGCGGUUAGAUAAGUCUGAAGUUAAAGGCUGUGGCUUAACCAUAGUAGGCUUUGGAAACUGUUUAACUUGAGUGCAAGAGGGGAGAGUGGAAUUCCAUGUGUAGCGGUGAAAUGCGUAGAUAUAUGGAGGAACACCGGUGGCGAAAGCGGCUCUCUGGCUUGUAACUGACGCUGAGGCUCGAAAGCGUGGGGAGCAAACAGGAUUAGAUACCCUGGUAGUCCACGCUGUAAACGAUGAGUGCUAGGUGUUAGACCCUUUCCGGGGUUUAGUGCCGUAGCUAACGCAUUAAGCACUCCGCCUGGGGAGUACGACCGCAAGGUUG
Molecule: ribosomal RNA, 550 nt
Filed under: uncultured bacterium
Lineage: Bacteria
Description: bacterial SSU rRNA
Rfam family: Bacterial small subunit ribosomal RNA
Source: RNAcentral